This 1808-nucleotide long non-coding RNA is filed under the name Canis lupus familiaris (dog). RNAcentral's name for it is "lncRNA (ENSCAFG00000054575.1, ENSCAFG00805016903.1, ENSCAFG00845029465.1)". The record is from RNAcentral. Lineage: Eukaryota; Metazoa; Chordata; Mammalia; Carnivora; Canidae.
AAAUUUCAGAUGUUUUUUAUUCAAAGGUUUUCAAAAGAAAUAAAACAGAAAAAGCUAACAAUCUGAUCAAAUGUACAGUUCAAAAAUGUCUUUUGGCGUUUAACAACAAGUCCUAGGAAGGAAACUACAGAGUUUAUCUUGAACCGGACAAAUAAGUUACCACUGGCAAGUUUGUGGCACUAGUAAAACAAAAAUAAAAAAUUAACUCUCUUGAUCAUAUAGAUAUCUCUAUGAAAAUCUUUUUUUCAAUCUGUACAAAAGGUCUUUCUUCAUAAAUUAAUUUUUUUUAUAAUUUAAUGGCUGUCUACUAUGUGAUGUUUAACUGAUUUUUUUUUUUUUUGUAUGUACAGAGGUUAUGUUUCCCAAAUCUUACCCAGACGAGUAUGGCACUUAGUUCAGACAUAUCUAGCAGCAGAUUUCCCCUCCCUUCUAACCGAGCUAUCAAAUUUCUGUCUUAACUAAUGCAAAAAUAUCAAGUAGUGAGAGACCCAGGUUUAUAAAUGUACUAGGUACAAGGAGGGUGCUGCGUUCAGUCUGGACUUUCACAAAGCAGUUAAUAUUCCAGGGAGCAUAGAACCAAUAAUACCACAACUUUAAAAAAGGAAACAAAAACAAAAACAAAACACAUUUCUCUUAUGACUAUGUAAUUUUUCACUAGAAUCUACACUUCUCAGAGCAGCAAGGACUUUUGAAACUAUGAAAUGUCACUGACAUCUAUAAUCAAAUACAAGCAUAAAAUUUAAGAACUAAAAAAUACUCGAAAGAAAUAACUGCUUAGCCCUAGCUCCUGAGCUAGGAGGAUUUGGUCUGUGGAAACAGGGAGGGCCAGCAACCUGUCCCAGCACAAAAGAAAACAGACUCUGAGGUAGAUAACUGAUCACACACAGUUGACCAGACAAGUACACAGUUUUGGAAGACAACUUAAUUUACCAUUGCUUUUCAAACGUAUGCAAUUGUCUUAAUAAAAGAGCUUUAAUAACAGUGAAUUAUCUUAUAUGUACUAAAGUAGAAAUAACUGUGUAUUUAUGAAUCAGGAAUUUCAUAGUUUCAAAAUUGGUUUCUCUUUACACUUAACACUUGUAGUGAUGAUGUAAAGUGUGGCACUGCUUGGAUCCAAAUCUUCCUUCAUGCUUUUUUGUUUGUUUGUGUGUGUCCAUACAUCAAUUAAAAUGAUAAAACCUAAAUGCAAAGGUACAAAAAAAGGCACAUUCUCCUAACCGCAAACUGGUCCGGCAAAAAUAAAGAGCACAGAAGAUAGGAUGCUGAGACAAGGUGGAGCUACUGGUUACUGGCUCUUCGGUCUUUGGUGAAGUUACCUUUAAAAGUGCCAAGGAAUUUUUAUUUCUCAAAUUUAUGUAAUAGAGAGAGCUAGUAGCCAAUCGUUUCGCUUCUAUUCAUAUCUCAGCUUAUGUUUGAAGAUAAAAUCCUUACUUUUAGCUUUUGCCAUUUAGUUGCAAUAGCAACGUUUUUCCAUUUGCCAGAUCUCAGGCAUAAUUCUCAUUCUAAAGCACUAUCAUUAGUAUAAAGGAAGGACAAAACAUUCGGUGACUCCCCGCCCCCGCCCCCCGCCCCCAGCCCCAACGCUACCUACACUAAAUCUAGAACAUCGAGUUAGUUUUUUUUUUUCCUGAAAAAAGGCAAAAAAGACUUUACAUUGCAUCAUACAGCAGAUAUCCUAAAUCAGUCAAACUAUCAGAGGAAACUGUUGGCGUACAGCCUUACAAACAAUUUACCCUAUUAAAAGUUCCCCAGUCAGAAAAUGUGUUUCACACAAAACAUUUUUCCCUUCUUGCAUUUCACUACCUUAC